Molecule: small RNA, 162 nt
Filed under: Firmicutes bacterium CAG:56
Lineage: Bacteria; Bacillati; Bacillota
Description: Clostridiales-1 RNA
Rfam family: Clostridiales-1 RNA
Source: Rfam by way of RNAcentral
UGAUGCAAAGGGUGAAACAGUCGCAAAUUUCAUGUUUACAUGAAAAUUUGUGACUUUGAACCCUGCAAAACAUGAGAAAGGAGCCAUUUUCAUAGAAAAUGUGCGGAUUUCGAAUGUUUUAGAAUUGCGAGAGCAUAGAAUGCGGAGCAAUUCGUAGCAUCA